This 1554-nucleotide ribosomal RNA is filed under the name Staphylococcus aureus. RNAcentral's name for it is "16S ribosomal RNA". It matches the Rfam family "Bacterial small subunit ribosomal RNA". The record is from RNAcentral. Lineage: Bacteria; Bacillati; Bacillota; Bacilli; Caryophanales; Staphylococcaceae.
UUUAUGGAGAGUUUGAUCCUGGCUCAGGAUGAACGCUGGCGGCGUGCCUAAUACAUGCAAGUCGAGCGAACGGACGAGAAGCUUGCUUCUCUGAUGUUAGCGGCGGACGGGUGAGUAACACGUGGAUAACCUACCUAUAAGACUGGGAUAACUUCGGGAAACCGGAGCUAAUACCGGAUAAUAUUUUGAACCGCAUGGUUCAAAAGUGAAAGACGGUCUUGCUGUCACUUAUAGAUGGAUCCGCGCUGCAUUAGCUAGUUGGUAAGGUAACGGCUUACCAAGGCAACGAUGCAUAGCCGACCUGAGAGGGUGAUCGGCCACACUGGAACUGAGACACGGUCCAGACUCCUACGGGAGGCAGCAGUAGGGAAUCUUCCGCAAUGGGCGAAAGCCUGACGGAGCAACGCCGCGUGAGUGAUGAAGGUCUUCGGAUCGUAAAACUCUGUUAUUAGGGAAGAACAUAUGUGUAAGUAACUGUGCACAUCUUGACGGUACCUAAUCAGAAAGCCACGGCUAACUACGUGCCAGCAGCCGCGGUAAUACGUAGGUGGCAAGCGUUAUCCGGAAUUAUUGGGCGUAAAGCGCGCGUAGGCGGUUUUUUAAGUCUGAUGUGAAAGCCCACGGCUCAACCGUGGAGGGUCAUUGGAAACUGGAAAACUUGAGUGCAGAAGAGGAAGGUGGAAUUCCAUGUGUAGCGGUGAAAUGCGCAGAGAUAUGGAGGAACACCAGUGGCGAAGGCGACUUUCUGGUCUGUAACUGACGCUGAUGUGCGAAAGCGUGGGGAUCAAACAGGAUUAGAUACCCUGGUAGUCCACGCCGUAAACGAUGAGUGCUAAGUGUUAGGGGGUUUCCGCCCCUUAGUGCUGCAGCUAACGCAUUAAGCACUCCGCCUGGGGAGUACGACCGCAAGGUUGAAACUCAAAGGAAUUGACGGGGACCCGCACAAGCGGUGGAGCAUGUGGUUUAAUUCGAAGCAACGCGAAGAACCUUACCAAAUCUUGACAUCCUUUGACAACUCUAGAGAUAGAGCCUUCCCCUUCGGGGGACAAAGUGACAGGUGGUGCAUGGUUGUCGUCAGCUCGUGUCGUGAGAUGUUGGGUUAAGUCCCGCAACGAGCGCAACCCUUAAGCUUAGUUGCCAUCAUUAAGUUGGGCACUCUAAGUUGACUGCCGGUGACAAACCGGAGGAAGGUGGGGAUGACGUCAAAUCAUCAUGCCCCUUAUGAUUUGGGCUACACACGUGCUACAAUGGACAAUACAAAGGGCAGCGAAACCGCGAGGUCAAGCAAAUCCCAUAAAGUUGUUCUCAGUUCGGAUUGUAGUCUGCAACUCGACUACAUGAAGCUGGAAUCGCUAGUAAUCGUAGAUCAGCAUGCUACGGUGAAUACGUUCCCGGGUCUUGUACACACCGCCCGUCACACCACGAGAGUUUGUAACACCCGAAGCCGGUGGAGUAACCUUUUAGGAGCUAGCCGUCGAAGGUGGGACAAAUGAUUGGGGUGAAGUCGUAACAAGGUAGCCGUAUCGGAAGGUGCGGCUGGAUCACCUCCUUUCU